GCGAUUCGCCCUUGGGUGCAGCAGGCGCGAAAACUUUACAAUGCCGGCAACGGCGAUAAGGGAACCUCGAGUGCCAGGUUACAAAUCUGGCUGUCGUGAUGCCUAAAAAGCAUUGCAUAGCAAGGGCCGGGCAAGACCGGUGCCAGCCGCCGCGGUAACACCGGCGGCUCGAGUGGUAACCGUUAUUAUUGGGUCUAAAGGGUCUGUAGCCGGCCGGGUAAGUCUCUUGGGAAAUCUGGCAGCUUAACUGUCAGGCUUUUAGGAGAUACUGCCUGGCUCGAGGCCGGGAGAGGUGAGAGGUACUUCAGGGGUAGGGGUGAAAUCUUGUAAUCCUUGAAGGACCACCAGUGGCGAAGGCGUCUCACCAGAACGGACCUGACGGCAAGGGACGAAAGCUAGGGGCACGAACCGGAUUAGAUACCCGGGUAGUCCUAGCCGUAAACGAUACUCGCUAGGUGUCGGCCACGGUGCGACCGUGGUCGGUGCCGUAGGGAAGCCGUGAAGCGAGCCACCUGGGAAGUACGGCCGCAAGGCUGAAACUUAAAGGAAUUGGCGGGGGAGCAC
Molecule: ribosomal RNA, 564 nt
Filed under: uncultured archaeon
Lineage: Archaea
Description: bacterial SSU rRNA
Rfam family: Archaeal small subunit ribosomal RNA
Source: RNAcentral